GGAGAGGGAUCCGUUAUUGAUCUUCUCUGCUCGUGUACGAGAGAGAGUUCCCUCUCUUCUGUGAGGAGAAACGUAUCGGAAGAAGGCGAGAAGCAACCGCAUCGGGCACUCGCGACGAGAGCCCGACGCGAAGUGAGAGCUACUCUCGUCGCAUCGCGUCGCGUCGCGUCGUGUCGGUAGUCCGUCGUCCGUCGUCCGUCCCGAGUAAGCGUUGCGCGGUUCGGAGUUCGGCUAGCCUGUCCGGGAAGCGUGGCUAGGUGGCGAACAGGGCCGAAUAGCGACGAAGACGAUCGAACGUAGCCGAGCUCGACAUCGGCCGUCUUGUCGUUCGGAUCUAGUGGUUCAGUGCAUGCAUAGCGGCCGGCCGGCGUGCAUAGUCGGUUGAUAACGGAAUUGGAACCUUCUUUCGGCCCUAAAUCAUCGUUUCGGGGGGGAUUAUUUUUCUAUCGCUGCGCUUUUGUUGUAUGGAAAGGUGUGCGAAGUAGGGGCGAAGCAUCGAGGAAAGGCGCCGUCGUGCUCGCGCUCUCGUCGGCACCGGGCCUCGGGGCCCGGGGGCCAUCCCGUAACACGCGGUUAUGGAGUUCCUAGGCUCGUCCCGGUUAGGAACCAGCUACAAUAUCUGUGCGCGGGCGUUACCCCGUCGGUUUUCUUCUCGCGUACUAGUCAGCAACUCCGCUGCGACGACAGCCAAGCCCUGAAUCAAGCUCCGUGUCAAAGGUGAUAUGCUCGUCGGAAGAAAUGCUAGCCUGAAACGCACGGUGAAAACGGGAGAUCGUUGGUGGAACGAGUCGCGAAUACGAGCGAACGAUCUCUGACAAUGAUGACCGAAAGAUGAAACGGAAUCCUUAUGGUGAAAUCUGCUAGGAGGGAACAGUUGUAUCGAAUAAAAAUAGAGGAGAGAAAGGGGGAAUAAAGGAAGAGGUAGAAAACUGGCGUCCCAAAGACGUGACGGUGGAUCCCGCGGGACUCGGACCCGUCGACGGACAAAUGGUGGUGGAUCCUUGUCGAGCCGUGGAAGCGCGACGGGUAUGCAAUGCGGCCUGUGCGCCGUCGUCGCGGGACUCUUUCGGAGAGCCAUGUGUAUCGCGGGCAGCAGACGUGGUUCCGGGGAAUCCUGCUACCAGGAACUCACCACCGAGGUUCAGGUGCGACGGCACUCGCAGGUCGCGCCCAUUGAGACCGGCCUGAAAGCGGCUGAGAUCGCCGAACACGUUAAAGAGGCCGUUCAGACGCAGGAGAGGAGAAGCGCAGAGAUAACGGUGGACAGUGGGGAACAGAAUGCUGUAUUCGUCCGUCUUUCCGAAAGCGCCGCACUGCCAACGUCAGGUGUGUCAGCAACUAUAACAGAGAUUCGGGAUGAAGCAAAACCGGAAGCAGCAGCGUCGAGACGUUUGUCAGAGGUGGACCGAGUCCUGCUGGAAAGUUUGGAUAUCGGUCACUCGAGACCUAGGCCUACCGGUCGAUUCCUGACGAUGCAUAAAAGACGUCGUAAGAGGCUUACCACGAGAUCCUUAACUCAAGAGCCUGGUAUUCUGGACGAUAUUUUCCACGGCCUGGUUCAGUGCGUGUUACAAAAGGCCGGAAACUGGCGAUUUAAUGCAUUCACGCUGGAAACAGUGACGGGAGGACGUUCCCUACCGGUGUUAUGCGUGCAUCUUUUUCACUGGUACGGGCUACUGCAGCACUUUAAUCUAGACGUGGUAACGGUGUGGAAAUUAUUUGCCUUCAUCGAGGAAGGUUAUCACAGUACAAAUCCUUACCACAACAGUAUACACGCCACAGAUGUUACUCAGGCUAUGCAUUGCUUCCUCCAAGAGGAAAAGAUUAGAACACACUUAACCAACUUGGAGAUCAUGGCUGCACUGAUAGCCGCGGUGACGCAUGAUCUCGAUCAUCCGGGCGUCAAUCAACCGUUUCUGGUUGCCACGAGCAAUCAUUUGGCUGCUCUCUAUCAAAACACGUCGGUUCUUGAGAAUCAUCAUUGGAGAUCGGCGAUCGGCUGUCUGUUAGAAAGCGGCGUCUCGGAUCAAUUGCCUGCUAACGUGAGACCUGAACUUCAACGACACAUCAGCUCGUUGAUUUUGGCCACGGACAUCACGAGGCAACAGGAAUUUCUCGUUCGAUUCAAGCACUAUUUGGAUGAAAAUCUCUUAGAAAUGAAACGGCCGGACGAUCGGCACUUCAUUUUGCAAAUAGCUCUGAAAUGUGCAGAUAUAUCGAACCCGUGCAGACCGUGGGAUAUUUCAAGGAAAUGGUCGUACAAAGUAUGCGAAGAAUUCUUUCGGCAGGGCGAUUACGAGCGUCGAUUGAACCUUCCAGUAACGCCGUUAUGCGAUCGGCAUACCACUAGCAUACCAAAGAUACAAGUUGGAUUCCUCAAGUUCGUCGUGACGCCUCUGUACGAGGAAUGGCAUCGUUUCCUGGGCGACGGAUUAAGCGUAUCGUUGAUGGAGCAUCUACGCGGUAAUCAGAAGAGAUGGGAAGCCUUGAAUCUGCAGGAAACCGCGGAGGAAACGGAAACGGAGAUAUCCGAGCUGGAGGAAGCGGAAGACGCGGUUAGCUCUGUGGAUGAUCCGGUCGCGGACGAGGACGACACAGGAAGCAUCGACUUGCUGAUACCAGCUGCGUACGUUCAGUCUUCCCGGAUGCAAAGCCUACCGGCGCGAGUUGGCUUGGAACGCGUGGGAAGACGUCAUUCGGUACCGCUGAGCGUAUCGAAGCCUUUAACGUUGCUGCCGCGAAGCGCAGCCAGACGCGAGAGUCUGCCCACUGAGCAGAGUAAAUCAAAAACGAAUCUGUUGCUAAAGUUGGAGGAGCAAAGCUUCCUGGACCCCAGCUCGUUAUCGUUGCUAUCGUCCAAGAGCAGCAUUGGCCAGGAACUCUCACCGAACGCCAAUACCGGUGAGAGACCUGUCAGCGCUGAGAGUCUUCUACCAGAACCGAGUAUAGCUAGCAUCACUAAUAGCGCUGAAGCGUCGAGGCUAAGUACAGUCUUGCAGCCAGAAGCUCAGAAAGCGGGUACACAAUCGAAACAGUUAACGAGGCAACAAACCUUCCCUCCCCUGCAGCCAUACGUUAGAAUGAGAUAUCUGUCUGCCACCGCGGAAAUGGCGCAAUGCUACUCUCAGAUCUUGAUAGAGGGAGACAGCUCUAGCUCGUCGUCGUGCUCUGCCAAGGAGAAAUCUUGCUCGGAUGGUCGUUGUGGUACACCGCCAAAGUUCGAGGGAACCUCGUCACAAGUAAAGGCUAGCGUAAAGAUAACGAAAGAGAUUGAGGUACCAGGGAAGAAAUACGGGUCCGCGAUUCCAGAGUUGUUUAAGCAGAAGAUGGAGCCUCCUUCGAGUGGCGAUCAUUUGAGACGUCAUUCGGUGCAAACUAUCCGCGUCGAAGACGCCAGCCUUAAAACUGGCAAAAGGCGACCCUCUUCUGCUCAAGGAAUCGAUUUCACGCAGAGUUUCUAUGCGUCUUUGACCGGUUCCAGCGAAGAGAAAGAGAGUCGUGCUACUGAAACAGGCUCCAAGACGGAUGGUACUUCCGUCUUUGUUUCGAAAGUGAAAUUAUAUGGUGAUAAACCGGUAGGCGAGAAUCAACGGACUACAGUGGCGUUCAAGUCGGAUCAGUGCAGUUCGAUGCAGGUUACGAGAAUGAAGUGCAUCGAUUCUGAAUUACGAAGAUACUCAACUCCUGUGCCAGAAACUAAGACAAUAAUGACUGAUAGCGGGGGUAGACGAUUUACCGCAAUACCAGUGACCUCCGAACUUAGUACUCAUAAGGUGUUCUUCAUCGGAAGCCCACCGGAUUCACCGCCUCUCGUACAAAGCGUGUCGUCGUCCAGCGAUAGUGGUAGUGAACCGCGACGAAGUAUCGGUGGUGGUGAUUCGAAUAACGAGCUCGUUUCUACUGGCAGCAAACGUGACUCGGAACCUAUGAAAGAAAAGAGCUCUAAGAUUGCCAAAUUGAGCCACGAUGUACAGAUGAAGGAAAACGUUGAUCCACGGGCGGUAGAAGAUCCUAAAGGGAUUCCUUUGUCUCGAAAGGGUAGUCAGUCAUGGGCUAGAAGGCGUGGAUCUGCUCCAGUUGGUUUGCUAUCAAGAUUAGAUGACAUCGCAAUGCCACCUAUACCAUCUAGAGUUGAUCAUACUUCCAGACGUGGGUCUGUACCCGCUGACAUUACCAGGCAUCAAGCUGGAGGUGUCAAUAGAUUAGCCUUAGGACCUCGGGAGGGUAAUGUUGCAACACCUAGGAGAGCCAGUCUUCCACAAGAAACUGCUCUUGGAAAUCUUCUUGGCAAUAUUUUAUCUUUAACCAAUGAACGAGAAAAUCUCCCAAUAAAUAAUAACAAUAAUAAUAACAAUACCGGAAGUAGCAACAAUAACGGAAUAACAAGACUAAUCGAUAGCACCGGCCCUAGCAUGCCGUCCCCGCGGCGAGGUUCAGUGCCAGCAGACAUAUCUGAAUUACGCCGUGAUAUGUUCAAUAGGAGUAGUAUAAAUGGUAAGCCUCGUAAUCGGAAAAAGAUUUUGAGGAGGAGAAGUUCCGGAGGACCGGAAAUGUUUUCUGGAGGAUCAACAGAUGGAAACGAUAAUGGCACAUGGCUUAAAUGGAAGAGGGAACUUGGAAAAAAGGACUCUAUUCCUGAACCACUCGUCAAACGAAGAGGUUCCCUGCCCAUAGAGAUGGUGGCCAUUUCUCAUGCUGGUCGGUACAAUCAUAGAUAAAGGAGGAUGUCGUUAAACAAGCCGGUACCAUUGCGUUCUCCACUAAUAUUUAUACGAGAUCUGGAUCAGGAGCACGAAGAUCAAGCUUGUGGAGACUUUAGCAUGCAGCAGAAACGAGUGGACCGUCCGUGAUACCAGCGGUUAACAUAAGAUCAUCGAAUACUACCAUAUUGACAGUCUUUCCUUACAACAUUAGCAGCAACAGCGAUGAUUGACUUCCACGUUUCAGAAUUGCCAAAAACUGGAACUCUUCUUACCAAUCGUAAUUGUGGGCAAGUGAAUUUUGCAAAAUUAACCACGAUUUGCAAUAUUUGCAAUAUUUGCAAUAUUUGCAAAUUAAAACAAUUAUAAAAACAAUUACAACGACAGCGAUUUCUGCAUCAAUUGCUGACAAUUUCAAUGCUGUUGUCAUAAUAAUUGAUAACUAUCGUAUACUAUAUUCAUUGGGACAGAAUACAAAUUUAAGAUUGGCAAGAUAGUAACAUGAAAUUUUAUGACAGGGUUUAAAUAACGAAAGGAGAAUAAAACUAUUAAUUAACUAAAGUCUUCCCCGCAAUUUACGCGUCCGCGUGGAAGAAAUACAAUGUAUACACAUAGUAGUUAUGUGAGCUCUACAUAUAUCCAUUUGUGCCAUAUACACAAAUGUUGUUAAAAACAAGAUACAGUCAAACACAGGGUUCAAUAUGACGAUUUUAAUAAUUAAAAUGCCUAGGUAUGGAGAAGGAAAAAAAGACUGGUAGAAAAGUUCACCGCUAUAAAAUUAGACACUUAAAGUGACACGUAAAUUGAUUGAAAUGUAAUGAUAUUUGCUCAUAGUUAAGAAACUUACAAUUUUUUAAAGAAUUCGGCAGGAUAAUAUUUAUCUUCACUCAGUUAGUCAUUCUUAGCAUUCGUCAUCCCCAUCAAAUUCGUUUAUGCAUCCGCCUUAAUAAAUCAAAUUUUUUAUCUCCAUCGACGACGUUACGAAUACGUAUGUACAACGCAAAGCGAUUGAAUUUUAUUUUUAGGUUGAAAAUAAGGAAUAAUAAUGGCUAUGAGACGUAUAUAAGUAUAUACAUAUGUAUGUAGCGCUGAUAAAAAUGUAUACAUACUCAAUAUCGGAUGUAGUUUCCUUUGAACUUUAAUGAAAAUCGAAAUAGACAUUCCAUUAAAACAGAUAGUAUGCAAUGCGUAGAACAUGAAUGAAAAUUAAUAAUGGUGAAGUUGUUUAUUACUAUUUAUCAUCAUUCAUUAUAACAUCAUAAUCAUAACCAUCAUUAUUGUCAUCAUCGUUGUUGUUAUUAUACAUACAUAUAUAUAGUUACGAAUGAAAAUCUUAAUGAUCGUUAAAGUAGAUAGAUAUUGUAAACUUAGGGAAUAAUAAUAUGUGCGUUUAACCAUGAAGUUAAUUAGUUAGUGAAUUGCGUGAAAUUAUAAUCAUGAUUGUUUACUAUCGAUGAAAAUUAAAGAUGGUUACGAUGCAUAGGUUUACGGUACGUGAACCAAAAAAUAAUCAAAAGCUGUGACAUUUGUUUAUACUCUCUCCUAAAAUACUAAUUCAGUUAUAUACCUUUUUAAUUAAUAAGAUUUAGUUACACAAAGUACAAUUGUUAAACUGCCUAUGCACAAACGUAUACAAUAUUGUCCUGUUUUAUUGUAAAAAUCUUUUUAUUAUAAAAUUAUUAUAUAAAGAUACGUUAAUAGUAUUUUUAAUUACUUUUUAAAUGGAGAACGAAAAGACAUUGUAAUUUUAUGUCACGUACUGCUAUAACCUGUCGUCCCUCUGACUGUCAGAAAGUAAAGAACUAUUAUUAAGUCAUUGCAGUUUGGUAAUGAUAUAUAACAAGUCUAAUAAGUUUAUAACUAAUCAAAGUAAUAAUUGAUAUCUGUAUUGAUGUGAUAUAGAUAGGUCCUCCAUUUUCCAAGCAAAAUGUUGCCAAGCUUAACAAACUUUCUCUGAUAAAAUUUUUAAUCUUCUCGAUGCAGGAACUGUCAGAGCUUUAUGUGUAUUUCACUCGAUGACCAGGAAACAGAGGUGGAAAAAAAUCGCCUUAAAUAGAUUCUCAGUCUUUAAACAUAAAACACAGAAACAAUUCUUAAGUUUUCCUAUUUCUAAUGCAGAAACACUGCAUCAAUGACUUGUUGUAUAAGUGUAUUAAGUAAGUUAGCGUAAAACUACUAGUCUUUCUAACUCUUAAUAUAAUUUGUACAUAAAUAUAUAUAUAUAUAUAUAUACACAUAUAUAUUAUAUUCUCAUUCGACAAAAGAAAUCCACAGGCAACACCAAGGAACACAUUGAUGAAAGAUAUUGGAAAAUUUCAUUAAAAACUUUAUUUAUUUAUACUUUUUAAGAAAUUUACCUUUACAGACAGACCAAUGCAAAUGGGACUAAACA
Osmia lignaria (orchard mason bee) is the source of this 7092-nucleotide RNA transcript. RefSeq lists it as uncharacterized. The record is from RefSeq and is a predicted model, not a curated record. Lineage: Eukaryota; Metazoa; Arthropoda; Insecta; Hymenoptera; Megachilidae.